Molecule: long non-coding RNA, 606 nt
Organism: Brassica oleracea var. oleracea
Lineage: Eukaryota; Viridiplantae; Streptophyta; Magnoliopsida; Brassicales; Brassicaceae
Exons: 6
Source: RefSeq, a predicted model, not a curated record
AGCCAUACAUUGCUGAACAUCUAGAGGAAAUCUUGGAAGGAAACAGAUAUGUUAAAGGUGGAAACCGUUACUGGAAGAACAUUGUAGAUUUACCUCUGAACUGGUGUUCAGACUAACGAAGAGGUCGCAAUUAAGCUCGAAAGUGUGAAGACUGCGCAACACCAGGAUAUAUAGUGUUGUUCAGAAAGAGUUUGGUUUGUGCUGAUUGAGAAGCACUGAUAGAUGAAGUCACAGAGAAGAUUGAGAAAGAUCUGGUUCUUCUUGGAGCUACAACUGUUGAGGAUAAACUCUAAAAUGGGGAGACAAGGUGGAGACUGCUGUCAAUAUUGGCUUCUCUUGAAAGAGUCAGAUGCGAAGCAUCAGAAUGUUGGACAAGAAUAGAUGUUAUGUGAAGUGUCCACUCUGUGAGAGGUUUCUGUGUGUGGGACUGUGGUGUUCCUUGGCAUGAUUCUGUGAGCUCUGAAGAGUUUCAGAUUCUUCCGGUUGAUGAAAGAUAUCCAGAUCAUUGCAUCACUUGGCUAGGUAUAAGAGAUGGAUACAGUGUUUGGCUUUGUGGUUUCUUAUAUCAAUGUUGAUAUCUCUCUUUGUGUUCUUUGCCAUGAGCUU